Molecule: ribosomal RNA, 427 nt
Filed under: uncultured bacterium
Lineage: Bacteria
Also listed under: 1 other name
Description: bacterial SSU rRNA
Rfam family: Bacterial small subunit ribosomal RNA
Source: RNAcentral
UGGGGAAUCUUGCGCAAUGCGCGAAAGCGUGACGCAGCAACGCCGCGUGGAGGAAGACGGUCUUCGGAUUGUAAACUCCUUUCAGUUGGGACGAAGCUCAACGGGUUAAUAGCUCGAUGGAGUGACGGUACCUUCAGAAGAAGCCCCGGCUAACUACGUGCCAGCAGCCGCGGUAAUACGUAGGGGGCUAGCGUUGUCCGGAAUCAUUGGGCGUAAAGAGCGUGUAGGCGGUCCGGUAAGUCCGCUGUGAAAGUCGGGGGCUCAACCCUCGAAUGCCGGUGGAUACUGUCGGGCUAGAGUGCGGAAGAGGCGAGUGGAAUUCCUGGUGUAGCGGUGAAAUGCGCAGAUAUCAGGAGGAACACCUAUUGCGAAGGCAGCUCGCUGGGACGUAACUGACGCUGAGACGCGAAAGCGUGGGGAGCAAACA